RNAcentral lists this ribosomal RNA (451 nucleotides) under uncultured bacterium. Its description in RNAcentral is "partial 16S ribosomal RNA". It matches the Rfam family "Bacterial small subunit ribosomal RNA", at positions 29 to 523 of the family's 1533-position model. The record is from RNAcentral.
AGCGAACGCUGGCGGCAGGCUUAACACAUGCAAGUCGAGCGGGCAUAGCAAUAUGUCAGCGGCAGACGGGUGAGUAACGCGUGGGAACGUACCUUUUGGUUCGGAACAACACAGGGAAACUUGUGCUAAUACCGGAUAAGCCCUUACGGGGAAAGAUUUAUCGCCGAAAGAUCGGCCCGCGUCUGAUUAGCUAGUUGGUGAGGUAAUGGCUCACCAAGGCGACGAUCAGUAGCUGGUCUGAGAGGAUGAUCAGCCACAUUGGGACUGAGACACGGCCCAAACUCCUACGGGAGGCAGCAGUGGGGAAUAUUGGACAAUGGGCGCAAGCCUGAUCCAGCCAUGCCGCGUGAGUGAUGAAGGCCCUAGGGUUGUAAAGCUCUUUUGUGCGGGAAGAUAAUGACGGUACCUACAGAAGAAGCCCCGGCUAACUUCGUGCCAGCCGCCGCGGUAA